This 2970-nucleotide ribosomal RNA is filed under the name Thermoanaerobacterium thermosaccharolyticum. RNAcentral's name for it is "bacterial LSU rRNA". It matches the Rfam family "Bacterial large subunit ribosomal RNA". Lineage: Bacteria; Bacillati; Bacillota; Clostridia; Thermoanaerobacterales; Thermoanaerobacteraceae. The record is from RNAcentral.
UCAAGUUACAAAGGGCGUAUGGUGGAUGCCCAGGCACUUAGAGCCGAAGAAGGACGCAGCGAGCGGCGAAACGCUCCGGGGAGUCGCAAGCAGACGUAGAUCCGGAGAUUUCCGAAUGGGGAAACCCGCUUAAGGUAAUACUUAAGCAUCCCAUGGUGAACACAUAGCCAUGAGGAGGGGAAACCGCGUGAACUGAAACAUCUAAGUAGCGCGAGGAGAAGAAAGAAAACAGGGUCUCCCAGCGGAGAGACUCCGCUGGGAAGGUAGUGUCGAUUUCCUAAGUAGCGGCGAGCGAAAAGGAAAGAGCCCAAACCAUCACCGCAGGUGAUGGGGUUUAGGACCACGAGAAGGUAUAUGGAGUGAAGCCGAACAGACCUGGGAAGGCAGGCCAAAGAAGGUGAAAGCCCUGUAGGCGUAAGCUUUAAAUACCGAGUGGGAUCCAGAGUACCACAGGAUAGGCAACCCGGUGGGAAGACGGGAGGACCAUCUCCCAAGGCUAAAUACUCCUAAGUGACCGAUAGCGCAAAGUACCGUGAGGGAAAGGUGAAAAGAACCCCGGGAGGGGAGUGAAAGAGAACCUGAAACCAUAUGUCCACAAGCAGUGGAAGUCCGGCACUCAACUGAACAUGUUAGAGAGAAGAAAAAAAGAACUAGCGUGUCCAGUUGAGAGCCGGACGACCACGUACUUUUUGUAGAACGGACCGGCGAGUUAUAGAUAUGCAGCGAGGUUAAGCGAAAGCGGAGCCGAAGCGAAAGCGAGUCUUAAGAGGGCGAAAGUUGCAUAUCAUAGACCCGAAACCGUGCGACCUACCCAUGAUCAGGGUGAAGCCGGAGUAAGAUCUGGUGGAGGCCCGAACCACGUUGACGUUGAAAAGUCAUGGGAUGAAUUGUGGGUAGCGGAGAAAUUCCAAUCGAGCUCGGAGAUAGCUGGUUCUCCCCGAAAUAGCUUUAGGGCUAGCCUCAGGGGUGAAAAUAUGGAGGUAGAGCACUGAAUGGACUAGGGGCCAAAAAGGUUACCGAACCCUAUCAAACUCCGAAUGCCAUAUUGAGAACCCUGGGAGUCAGACUACGAGUGAUAAGAUCCGUGGUCAAAAGGGAAACAGCCCAGACCGACAGCUAAGGUCCCAAAGAGCAUGUUAAGUGGAAAAGGAAGUAGGAUUUCCAAGACAACCAGGAUGUUGGCUUAGAAGCAGCCAUACAUUCAAAGAGUGCGUAAUAGCUCACUGGUCGAGAAAUCCCGCGCCGAAAAUAAACGGGGCUAAAACAUGCCACCGAAGCUACGGAUUCGAAAGAAUGGUAGGGGAGCGUACUGUACAGGGGGAAGGAUAAGCGUAAGCGAAUCUGGACAGUACAGUAGAGAGAAUGCCGGUAUAAGUAACGAGAGUAAGGCGAGAAACCUUACCGUCGAAAGCCUAAGGUUUCCUGGGGAAGGAUAAUCCGCCCAGGGUAAGUCGGGACCUAAGCCGAGGCGAAAGCGUAGGCGAUGGACAACCGGUAAUAAAUCCGGUACCACCGAAAUCCGUCAUAAGAGAAGCAAGGACGCAGCGAGAUAAGAAAAGCGUGCGGUUGGUAGAGCACGUCCAAGCAGCGACGAAAAGAGCUUUGAGUGAAGUACCAAAGCUCAUAAGAGCUGUGAAGGGGAGCCGAAAGGCGAAGUUUCGAAGGGGCUGCCAAGAAAAGUUGCUAUCGAGGAUAGAGGUGCCCGUACCAGAAACCGACACAGGUAGGCGAGGAGAGAAUCCAAAGACGAGCGGGAGAACCCUCAUUAAGGAACUCGGCAAAAAGACUCCGUAACUUCGGGAGAAGGAGUGCCGAAAGGCCGCAGAGAAGAGGCCCAAGCGACUGUUUACCAAAAACACAGGUUUCUGCUAAGUCGAAAGACGAAGUAUAGGAGCUGACGCCUGCCCGGUGCUGGAAGGUUAAGGGGAAGUGUCAGAUGAAAGUCGAAGCACAGAACUUAAGCCCCAGUAAACGGCGGCCGUAACUAUAACGGUCCUAAGGUAGCGAAAUUCCUUGUCGGGUAAGUUCCGACCUGCACGAAAGGCGUAACGACUUGGGCGCUGUCUUGAUGGGGGACCCGGUGAAAUUGUAGUACUCGUGAAGAUGCGAGUUACCCGCGACAGGACAGAAAGACCCCAUGGAGCUUUACUGCAGCUUGUCACUGAAUUUUAGUAAUAUCUGUACAGGAUAGGUGGGAGGCGGAGAAAGAUGGGCGCAAGCCUAUCUGGAGCCGACGUUGGGAUACCACCCUGAUAUUACCGAAAUUCUAACAUAUAAGCCGUAAGCCGGCAUAUGGACACUGACAGGCGGGCAGUUUGACUGGGGCGGUCGCCUCCCAAAGAGUAACGGAGGCGUCCAAAGGUUACCUCAGCGCGGAAGGAAAUCGCGCGUAAGAGUGCAAAGGCAGAAGGUAGCCUAACUGCGAGAAAGACAAUUCGAGCAGGGACGAAAGUCGGGCUUAGUGAUCCGGCGGUAGAGAAUGGUAUUGCCGUCGCUCAACGGAUAAAAGCUACCCUGGGGAUAACAGGCUGAUCUCCCCCAAGAGUCCACAUCGACGGGGAGGUUUGGCACCUCGAUGUCGGCUCAUCGCAUCCUGGGGCUGAAGUAGGUCCCAAGGGUUGGGCUGUUCGCCCAUUAAAGCGGUACGCGAGCUGGGUUCAGAACGUCGUGAGACAGUUCGGUCCCUAUCCGUCGCAGGCGUAGGAAAUUUGAGAGGAACUGCCCUUAGUACGAGAGGACCGGGGUGGACAAACCGAUGGUGUACCAGUUGCGAAGCCAUUCGCACAGCUGGGUAGCCAAGUUUGGAAGGGAUAAACGCUGAAAGCAUCUAAGCGUGAAACCCACCUCAAGAAAAGAUUUCCCAUCCGAAAGGAGUAAGACACCUUGGAGAAGACGAGGUAGAUAGGCCGGAGGUGUAAGAGUAGAAAUACUUUAAGCUGACCGGUACUAAUAAGUCGAGGACUUGACCAA